GAUGAACGCUGGCGGCGUGCCUAAUACAUGCAAGUCGAGCGAACAGAUGAGGAGCUUGCUCCUCUGACGUUAGCGGCGGACGGGUGAGUAACACGUGGAUAACCUACCUAUAAGACUGGGAUAACUUCGGGAAACCGGAGCUAAUACCGGAUAAUAUAUUGAACCGCAUGGUUCAAUAGUGAAAGACGGUUUUGCUGUCACUUAUAGAUGGAUCCGCGCCGCAUUAGCUAGUUGGUAAGGUAACGGCUUACCAAGGCAACGAUGCGUAGCCGACCUGAGAGGGUGAUCGGCCACACUGGAACUGAGACACGGUCCAGACUCCUACGGGAGGCAGCAGUAGGGAAUCUUCCGCAAUGGGCGAAAGCCUGACGGAGCAACGCCGCGUGAGUGAUGAAGGUCUUCGGAUCGUAAAACUCUGUUAUUAGGGAAGAACAAAUGUGUAAGUAACUAUGCACGUCUAGACGGUACCUAAUCAGAAAGCCACGGCUAACUACGUG
Molecule: ribosomal RNA, 497 nt
Filed under: uncultured bacterium
Lineage: Bacteria
Description: partial 16S ribosomal RNA
Rfam family: Bacterial small subunit ribosomal RNA
Source: RNAcentral